AUUGAACGCUGGCGGCAGGCCUAACACAUGCAAGUCGAACGAGUGGCGGACGGGUGAGUAAUGUCUGGGAAACUGCCCGAUGGAGGGGGAUAACUACUGGAAACGGUAGCUAAUACCGCAUACCAUCGGAUGUGCCCAGAUGGGAGUAGCUAGUAGGUGGGGUAACGGCUCACCUAGGCGACGAUCCCUAGCUGGUCUGAGAGGAUGACCAGCCACACUUGAACUGAGACACGGUCCAGACUCCUACGGGAGGCAGCAGUGGGGAAAAUUUCCCAAUGGUGGCAAGGCUGAUUCAGCCAUGCCGCGUGUAUGAAGAAGGCCUUCGGGUUGUAAAGUACUUUCAGCGAGGAGGCGUUACUCGCAGAAGAAGCACCGGCUAACUCCGUGCCAGCCGCCGCGGUAAUAC
This 406-nucleotide ribosomal RNA is filed under the name uncultured bacterium. RNAcentral's name for it is "partial 16S ribosomal RNA". It matches the Rfam family "Bacterial small subunit ribosomal RNA", at positions 30 to 526 of the family's 1533-position model. The record is from RNAcentral.